CGGAACUCUCGAGCCUCGGAACCCACAAGUGCGGGCGUGAGGCGCCGGAGGGCAGAGGAGUGGAACACGCUGUCCGCGGACGGACCCGGAAGCACAUGGCGGCGAGCCUCCAGGAGCGGGAGGCGGAACGCAGCCUCGUCUGGCUUCGCUGACGCUCAGAAGGGAACGUGAGGAGUCAGCCCGGCGUGGGCUUGGUGGUCAGCGAGCCGGGGGUCCUGAGAGCCUUGGCAAAGGUCUGACACUAGUCUCAGCUGUUCUGAACCUCAGUCUCAGUUCAGAUCAGUUCAGUUCAGUCGCUCAGUCGUGUCCGACUUUGCGACCCGUGAUGCCAUCAACCAUCUCCUCCUUUGUCGUCCCCUUCUCCUCCUGCCUUCAGUCUUUGCCAGCAUCAGGGUCUUUUCCAGUGAGUCAGCUCUUCACAUCAGGUGGCCAAAGUAUUGGAGUUUCAGCUUCAGCAUCAGUCCUUCCAGUGAACACUCAGGACUGAUCCCCUUUAGGAUGGACUGGUUGGAUCUCCUUGCAGUCUAAGGGACUUUCAAGAGUCUUCUUCAACACCACAGUUCAAAAGCAUCAAUUCUUUGGUGGUCAGCUUUCUUUAUAGUCCCAAUUCUCACAUCCAUACAUGACUACUGGAAAAACCAUAGCCUUGAUGAGACGGACCUUUGUUGGCAAAGUAACGUCUCUGCUUUUUAUAUGCUGUCUAGGUUAGUCAUAACUUUCCUUCCAAGGAGUAAGCGUCUUUUAAUUUCAUGGCUGUAAUCACCAUCUGCAGUGAUUUUGGAGCCCAAAAAAAUAAAGUCAGCCAGUGUUUCCACUAUUUCCCCAUCUAUUUGCCAUGAAGUGAUGGGACCGGAUG
This 856-nucleotide long non-coding RNA is filed under the name Bos grunniens (domestic yak). RNAcentral's name for it is "lncRNA (ENSBGRG00000024548.1)". The record is from RNAcentral. Lineage: Eukaryota; Metazoa; Chordata; Mammalia; Artiodactyla; Bovidae.